This 27-nucleotide non-coding RNA is filed under the name Homo sapiens (human). Lineage: Eukaryota; Metazoa; Chordata; Mammalia; Primates; Hominidae. The record is from RNAcentral.
UGUGGUCCCUUUAAAUGAUAUGGAAGG